AGCGUAGACGGUGUGGCAAGUCUGAUGUGAAAGGCAUGGGCUCAACCUGUGGACUGCAUUGGAAACUGUUAGUCUUGAGUGCCGGAGAGGUAAGCGGAAUUCCUAGUGUAGCGGUGAAAUGCGUAGAUAUUAGGAGGAACACCAGUGGCGAAGGCGGCUUACUGGACGGUAACUGACGUUGAGGCUCGAAAGCGUGGGGAGCAAACA
This 207-nucleotide ribosomal RNA is filed under the name uncultured bacterium. Its description in RNAcentral is "partial 16S ribosomal RNA". It matches the Rfam family "Bacterial small subunit ribosomal RNA", at positions 568 to 774 of the family's 1533-position model. The record is from RNAcentral.